Molecule: ribosomal RNA, 466 nt
Filed under: uncultured bacterium
Lineage: Bacteria
Description: bacterial SSU rRNA
Rfam family: Bacterial small subunit ribosomal RNA
Source: RNAcentral
CGAACGUUGGCGGCGCGCUUAAUGCAUGCAAGUCGAACGAGAACCAGUGAGUUCGUAAGAACCCGCUGGGGAUAGUGGCGAACGGGUGCGUAACACGUGAGAAACCUGCCCUGGAGACCGGGAUAGCGCGGGGAAACCCGCAUUAAUACCGGAUACCUUCACCGGACCGCAUGGUCUGAUGAAGAAAUGGUCCGCCGCUCCAGGAUGGUCUCGCGGCCUAUCAGCUUGUUGGUGAGGUAACGGCUCACCAAGGCAACGACGGGUAGCUGGUCUGAGAGGACGAUCAGCCACACUGGGACUGAGACACGGCCCAGACUCCUACGGGAGGCAGCAGCAGGGAAUAUUGCACAAUGGGCGAAAGCCUGAUGCAGCGACGCCGCGUGCGGGAUGAAGGCCUUCGGGUUGUAAACCGCUUUCAGGAGGGAAGAAAAUGACGGUACCUCCAGAAGAAGGCCCGGCCAACUAC